RNAcentral lists this ribosomal RNA (443 nucleotides) under uncultured bacterium. RNAcentral's name for it is "partial 16S ribosomal RNA". It matches the Rfam family "Bacterial small subunit ribosomal RNA", at positions 338 to 795 of the family's 1533-position model. The record is from RNAcentral.
CCUACGGGUGGCAGCAGUGGGGGAUAUUGGACAAUGGGGGAAACCCUGAUCCAGCGACGCCGCGUGAGUGAAGAAGUAUUUCGGUAUGUAAAGCUCUAUCAGCAGGGAAGAAAGAAAUGACGGUACCUGAGUAAGAAGCCCCGGCUAACUACGUGCCAGCAGCCGCGGUAAUACGUAGGGGGCAAGCGUUAUCCGGAAUUACUGGGGGUAAAGGGAGCGUAGGCGGUAAUGCAAGUCUGGAGUGAAAGGCGGGGGCCCACACCCCGGAGAGCCCUGGAAACUGGGUAACUGGAGUGCAGGAGAGGUAGGCGGAAUGCCUGGUGUAGCGGUGAAAUGCGUAGAUAUUAGGAGGAACACCAGUGGCGAAGGCGGCCUGCUGGACUGUAACUGACGUUGAGGCUCGAAAGCGUGGGGAGCAAACAGGAUUAGAUACCCGGGUAGUC